Molecule: long non-coding RNA, 1191 nt
Organism: Trifolium pratense (red clover)
Lineage: Eukaryota; Viridiplantae; Streptophyta; Magnoliopsida; Fabales; Fabaceae
Exons: 4
Source: RefSeq, a predicted model, not a curated record
GAGGUAAAAGUUUUUUCUGCUGCACUCAUAAUCAUCCCAGUCUCAAACGUCUCCGUUCCUUCGCUUUCAGAUUCAUCUUCUCUCUUUUCUAUUAUUGGUUCACUUUAUCAUGCAUAUUGCAGAAGACAACAGUGGUUAAUUUUGAAGAGGGAUCAUCUUCAUCUUCCAUGAAGCUUACUAUGGCAUAAUUUGAAAGAUUCUUCCGAGCUUCCUGGCACGUUUGGUUCCCUACUGCCCAGUCGAACAUCACAGGAAACUCCUCCUUCUCCAACUUGAGGAGGUCUGUGGAUUUGAACUUGUAGGCUCCAUUUUCAACCAAAAAAGCAUAACCACAUGGAUUGAAGUCAUGCACUGCUGAGUGAUUGUUGAAUACGCCUAAAGAAAGAUAUAUUACUUUCAUUAACACAUGACCUUGGGGUAUUGGAAUCUCGCAACAACCAGUGCCAGAGCAAGAUUCAUGGGCCACAAUAUCAUUAAGCUUGUUGCACAGAGCCACACAUGCUGCGGUGUAAUUGUUUCCCCCAGAAUCAUAUGCUACGAGUCCUCCAGACGUGUCACAGCCAACUGCGAUGAAUUUGUUUCGAGUUGACGAGAUGUGGAAAUGUGCUGUGUUGACAGUCCCAUAUGUUUGGUUCACAAGUUUGCUGUUUUCAGCGUAGCAAUCUCUGGCUACUGGCCAUGCAACAUGCAGUUCGCCGUCGAGUGAGAUGUUUAAGACAAUUCUCUUACUAUGUGGCAAGUAGGGUACAUGUGUCGAGGUUGAAGAUGUAGAUGUUUUGUUGCAAUUGAUGAGAAAGGUGUUGUCCAAGGAACAACCCUUGGUGGUUCCAAAUGGGAAUGGAAUGGUGACAGAGCCACACUUUGUUGGGCAGUUAGGCAGAGAUAGUAACUGAGAUGCUACUUUUGAUAAAAAGACCGUAACAACCACCAGAAACAGCAGGUGUUUUGAGUGCAAAACCAUGAGCAUGGAUUUGCUAAUUUUUCAGGUUCAUGCAGAGGACAACAGUGGAUGUUUAUGAAUGUAGGAGAUCAUUUUCAUCUCACAGGAAGCUUGCUAUGGCAUAAUUUGAAAGAUCCUUCUGAGCUUGCUGGCAUGUUAGGUUCCCUACUGCCCAGUUCAACAACACUGGAAACUCCUCCUUCUCCAACUUGAGAAGGUCUGUGGAUUCGAAGCUGUAGGCUCCAUUUUCA